CUUGCUUCUCUUGAGAGCGGCGGACGGGUGAGUAAUGCCUAGGAAUCUGCCUGGUAGUGGGGGAUAACGUCCGGAAACGGACGCUAAUACCGCAUACGUCCUACGGGAGAAAGCAGGGGACCUUCGGGCCUUGCGCUAUCAGAUGAGCCUAGGUCGGAUUAGCUAGUUGGUGGGGUAAUGGCUCACCAAGGCGACGAUCCGUAACUGGUCUGAGAGGAUGAUCAGUCACACUGGAACUGAGACACGGUCCAGACUCCUACGGGAGGCAACAGUGGGGAAUAUUGGACAAUGGGCGAAAGCCUGAUCCAGCCAUGCCGCGUGUGUGAAGAAGGUCUUCGGAUUGUAAAGCACUUUAAGUUGGGAGGAAGGGCAGUAAAUUAAUACUUUGCUGUUUUGACGUUACCGACAGAAUAAGCACCGGCUAACUCUGUGCCAGCAGCCGCGGUAAUACAGAGGGUGCAAGCGUUAAUCGGAAUUACUGGGCGUAAAGCGCGCGUAGGUGGUUCGUUAAGUUGGAUGUGAAAUCCCCGGGCUCAACCUGGGAACUGCAUUCAAAACUGACGAGCUAGAGUAUGGUAGAGGGUGGUGGAAUUUCCUGUGUAGCGGUGAAAUGCGUA
Molecule: ribosomal RNA, 617 nt
Filed under: uncultured bacterium
Lineage: Bacteria
Description: bacterial SSU rRNA
Rfam family: Bacterial small subunit ribosomal RNA
Source: RNAcentral